UGAGCUUUGGGCAAGGCUUAUGCAUACAUUCGAAUUUAGCCCCAGACAUAGCAACAACAUAAGCCUUAGGCGAUGUUUAUAUGAAUUUUUCAAAACUUGUCUUUGUGUUGCAUAGUAACAUAAACCUUGGGCAAGGCUUAAGUGGUGUCGAAAUCGAACCGCCAAAUAUAGUUGCAUCAUUAGCUUGGGGCAAGGUUUACGUGAAUAUUUAUAAACUUGACCCCAUAUGUUACUGGGACUUAAGCUCUUGGGCAAAGUUCCUGCUUAUUUCGUAAAAGAUAGUGCAAGUGUUAACCUUUGGGCAAGACACAUGCUAACCCUUCGGUAAGGCUUAAAUUGUCAGUUUAAGCCGUGGGCAA
This 359-nucleotide long non-coding RNA is filed under the name Carica papaya (papaya). RNAcentral describes it as "long non-coding RNA (CPAP_LNC006612)". Lineage: Eukaryota; Viridiplantae; Streptophyta; Magnoliopsida; Brassicales; Caricaceae. The record is from RNAcentral.